RNAcentral lists this ribosomal RNA (516 nucleotides) under uncultured bacterium. Its description in RNAcentral is "bacterial SSU rRNA". It matches the Rfam family "Bacterial small subunit ribosomal RNA", at positions 95 to 606 of the family's 1533-position model. The record is from RNAcentral.
GCGGCGGACGGGUGAGUAACGCGUGAGCAAUCUGCCUCAUACAGGGGGAUAACAGGCGGAAACGCCUGCUAAUACCGCAUAAGACCACGCCACCGCAUGGUGGAGCGGUCAAAGGGUGCACAGACGAGAGGCUGUGCAUACCGGUAUGAGAUGAGCUCGCGUCCCAUUAGCUUGUUGGUGAGGUAACGGCUCACCAAGGCGACGAUGGGUAGCCGACCUGAGAGGGUGAUCGGCCACACUGGGACUGAGACACGGCCCAGACUCCUACGGGAGGCAGCAGUGGGGAAUAUUGCGCAAUGGGGGGAACCCUGACGCAGCAACGCCGCGUGAGCGAAGAAGGCCUUCGGGUCGUAAAGCUCUGUCAUAGGGGAAGAGGAGAAGACGGUACCCUAUGAGGAAGCCCCGGCUAACUACGUGCCAGCAGCCGCGGUAAUACGUAGGGGGCGAGCGUUGUCCGGAAUUACUGGGCGUAAAGGGUGCGUAGGCGGCCUGAUAAGUCAGAUGUGAAAUACCAGG